UAGGGAAUCUUCCACAAUGGGCGCAAGCCUGAUGGAGCAACACCGCGUGAGUGAAGAAGGGUUUCGGCUCGUAAAGCUCUGUUGUUAAAGAAGAACACGUAUGAGAGUAACUGUUCAUACGAUGACGGUAUUUAACCAGAAAGUCACGGCUAACUACGUGCCA
RNAcentral lists this ribosomal RNA (163 nucleotides) under uncultured bacterium. Its description in RNAcentral is "partial 16S rRNA". It matches the Rfam family "Bacterial small subunit ribosomal RNA", at positions 355 to 510 of the family's 1533-position model. The record is from RNAcentral.